RNAcentral lists this ribosomal RNA (262 nucleotides) under uncultured bacterium. RNAcentral's name for it is "partial 16S ribosomal RNA". It matches the Rfam family "Bacterial small subunit ribosomal RNA", at positions 30 to 294 of the family's 1533-position model. The record is from RNAcentral.
AUUGAACGCUGGCGGCAUGCCUUACACAUGCAAGUCGAACGGCAGCACGGGAGCAAUCCUGGUGGCGAGUGGCGAACGGGUGAGUAAUAUAUCGGAACGUGCCCAGUCUGGGGAUAACGUAGCGAAAGCUACGCUAAUACCGCAUACGAUCUAUGGAUGAAAGCGGGGGAUCGCAAGACCUCGCGCGAUUGGAGCGGCCGAUAUCAGAUUAGGUAGUUGGUGAGGUAAAGGCUCACCAAGCCGACGAUCUGUAGCUGGUCUG